CCUACGGGAGGCAGCAGUGGGGGAUAUUGCACAAUGGGGGAAACCCUGAUGCAGCGACGCCGCGUGAGUGAAGAAGUAUUUCGGUAUGUAAAGCUCUAUUAGCAGGGAAGAAAAUGACAGUACCUGACCAAGAAGCCCCGGCGAACUACGUGCCAGAAGCCGCGGUAAUACGUAGGGGGAGAGCGUUAGCCGGAUUUACUGGGUGUAAAGGGAGCGUAGACGGUUGUGUAAGUCUGGAGUGAAAGCCCGGGGCACAACCCCGGGAGUGCUUUGGAAACUGUGUAACUGGAGUACAGGAGGGGCAGGUGGAAUUCCUGGUGUAGCGGUGAAAUGCGUAGAUAUCAGGAGGAACACCGGUGGCGAAGGCGGCCUGCUGGACUGAAACUGACGUUGAGGCGCGAAAGCGUGGGGAGCAAACAGGAUUAGAUACCCUUGUAGUC
Molecule: ribosomal RNA, 440 nt
Filed under: uncultured bacterium
Lineage: Bacteria
Description: partial 16S ribosomal RNA
Rfam family: Bacterial small subunit ribosomal RNA
Source: RNAcentral